This 369-nucleotide ribosomal RNA is filed under the name uncultured bacterium. RNAcentral describes it as "bacterial SSU rRNA". It matches the Rfam family "Bacterial small subunit ribosomal RNA", at positions 27 to 398 of the family's 1533-position model. The record is from RNAcentral.
GAUUGAACGCUGGCGGCAGGCUUAACACAUGCAAGUCGAGCGGAGAGAGGUAGCUUGCUACUGAUCUUAGCGGCGGACGGGUGAGUAAUACUUAGGAAUCUGGCUAUUAGUGGGGGACAACAUUUCGAAAGGGAUGCUAAUACCGCAUACGUCCUACGGGAGAAAGCAGGGGAUCUUCGGACCUUGCGCUAAUAGAUGAGCCUAAGUCGGAUUAGCUAGUUGGUGGGGUAAAGGCCUACCAAGGCGACGAUCUGUAGCGGGUCUGAGAGGAUGAUCCGCCACACUGGGACUGAGACACGGCCCAGACUCCUACGGGAGGCAGCAGUGGGGAAUAUUGGACAAUGGGGGGGAACCUGAUCCAGCCAUGCC